GACAGAGGGUGCAAACGUUGUUCGGAAUUACUGGGCGUAAAGCGCACGUAGGCGGCUUUGCAAGUCGGAUGUGAAAUCCCGUGGCUCAACCAUGGACGUGCAUUCGAAACUGCGAAGCUUGAGUAUGGAAGAGGGUCGCGGAAUUCCCGGUGUAGAGGUGAAAUUCGUAGAUAUCGGGAGGAACACCAGUGGCGAAGGCGGCGACCUGGGCCAAUACUGACGCUGAGGUGCGAAAGCGUGGGGAGCAAACAGG
This 253-nucleotide ribosomal RNA is filed under the name uncultured bacterium. RNAcentral describes it as "partial 16S ribosomal RNA". It matches the Rfam family "Bacterial small subunit ribosomal RNA", at positions 524 to 776 of the family's 1533-position model. The record is from RNAcentral.